This is a long non-coding RNA of Leptonychotes weddellii (Weddell seal), 470 nucleotides long. RefSeq lists it as uncharacterized. The record is from RefSeq and is a predicted model, not a curated record. NCBI's taxonomy places the organism in Eukaryota, Metazoa, Chordata, Mammalia, Carnivora, Phocidae.
GCAGCCCCAGGCGGGCGGAGUAGGGUACGCAGGAGUCAGGCGCGCGGGCUUGCUGAGGCGAGCUGAAGCCAGCGCAGGAAAACAAUUGAGCUACUGAGUUUCGGUGGGAGUAAUCAGGAGAUUUUGAGAAGUACCUGGCGAAGAUCACAUACCUGCACCAUCUCUCGGCCUGCCUUGGAGUUCUGUGUGUAACAGUGUGACUGAACGUUUGCCGGUGGCAAAUGAGCAAAGGAGAUGUAUGGCACUCCUAGGCCUGGACCAUGCAAACCUCCAGAUCACAACCCACUGUGAUUUCCCAUCACUGGGGAGCCCUGACAAGUCACAUACUGAAAAUGGCAAAGCCAUGAGAAAGAAGGAACUGCAUUAUCACUUACAGGAAAUGUUAUAGGAAAGCUCUCUAUUUAUCAGGAAUCCCUGUUUUGACUUCAUGUGAGCAAGAAAAUAAAAGCGGGCGCCUAGGUGGCUCAGUC